AAUCAUCAAAACCUUCUCUUUUUGAGUGGUUUGGAUGUGGGGGUUUGCUGGCCUUGUAAAGGGUUCAGCUCCCCUGAAAUGCAUUAGCAGAACAACCCUGUUCAUUGGUGUGAUAACUAUCUACGCUAUUGAAUGUAAGGGGCAGUUCAGCUUUCUAACAGUCCUUGGACAAUUCAUCAUUA
RNAcentral lists this unclassified non-coding RNA (182 nucleotides) under uncultured Cortinarius. RNAcentral describes it as "sequence contains ITS2". The record is from RNAcentral. Lineage: Eukaryota; Fungi; Basidiomycota; Agaricomycetes; Agaricales; Cortinariaceae.